UACAGAGGUCUCAAGCGUUGUUCGGAUUCAUUGGGCGUAAAGGGUGCGUAGGUGGCGGGGUAAGUCAGGUGUGAAAUCUCGGAGCUCAACUCCGAAACUGCACUUGAUACUGCCUUGCUCGAGUACUGGAGAGGAGAUUGGAAUUUACGGUGUAGCAGUGAAAUGCGUAGAUAUCGUAAGGAAGACCAGUGGCGAAGGCGAAUCUCUGGACAGUUACUGACACUGAGGAGCGAAAGCGUGGGGAGCGAACAGG
This 253-nucleotide ribosomal RNA is filed under the name uncultured bacterium. RNAcentral describes it as "partial 16S ribosomal RNA". It matches the Rfam family "Bacterial small subunit ribosomal RNA", at positions 524 to 776 of the family's 1533-position model. The record is from RNAcentral.